Non-coding RNA from Triticum aestivum (bread wheat), 135 nucleotides. Lineage: Eukaryota; Viridiplantae; Streptophyta; Magnoliopsida; Poales; Poaceae. The record is from Rfam.
UUACUACUCCCUCCGUCUUAAAAUUCUUGUCUUAGAUUUUUCUAAAUACGGAUGUAUCAAGGCACGUUUUAGUAUUAGAUACAUCCGUAUCUAGACAAAUCUAAAACAAGAAUUUUGGGACGGAGGGAGUAUUAU